AAUAUUGCACAAUGGAGGGAACUCUGAUGCAGCGACGCCGCGUGAGCGAUGAAGGCCUUCGGGUCGUAUAACUCUGUUGUUAGGGAAGAACAAGUAUCGUUCGAAUAGGGCGGUACCUUGACGGUACCUAACCAGAAAGCCACGGCUAACUACGUGCCAGCAGCCGCGGUAAUACGUAGGUGGCAAGCGUUAUCCGGAAUUAUUGGGCGUAAAGCGCGCGCAGGCGGUUUCUUAAGUCUGAUGUGAAAGCCCACGGCUCAAACGUGGAGGGUCAUUGAAAACUGGGAAGCUUGAGUGCAGAAGAGGAGAGUGGAAUUCCAUGUGUAGCGGUGAAAUGCGUAGAUAUAUGGAGGAACACCAGUGGCGAAGGCGACUCUCUGGUCUGCAACUGACGCUGAGGCGCGAAAGCGUGGGGAGCGAACA
This 423-nucleotide ribosomal RNA is filed under the name uncultured bacterium. RNAcentral describes it as "partial 16S ribosomal RNA". It matches the Rfam family "Bacterial small subunit ribosomal RNA", at positions 360 to 774 of the family's 1533-position model. The record is from RNAcentral.